This 400-nucleotide ribosomal RNA is filed under the name phytoplankton environmental sample. RNAcentral's name for it is "partial small subunit ribosomal RNA". It matches the Rfam family "Eukaryotic small subunit ribosomal RNA", at positions 587 to 990 of the family's 1831-position model. The record is from RNAcentral.
AGCUCCAUUAGCGUAUAUUAAAGUUGUUGCAGUUAAAAAGCUCGUAGUUGGAUUUCGGUGCGGGCCAGUCGGUCGGCCGCAAGGCCUGCUACUGACUGGUCUGCUCUUCUUCUCAAAGACUGCGUGUGCUCUUCGUUGGGUGUGCGUAGGAUUUGGGACGUUUACUUUGAAAAAAUUAGAGUGUUCAAGGCAGGCGUCACUAGCUUGAAUACAUGAGCAUGGAAUAAUGGAAGAGGACCUCGGUCCUAUUUUGUUGGUUUCUGGGGCCGAAGUAAUGAUUAAGAGGGACAGUUGGGGGCAUUCGUAUUUAAUUGUCAGAGGUGAAAUUCUCGGAUUUAUGAAAGACGAACAACUGCGAAAGCAUUUGCCAAGGAUGUUUUCAUUAAUCAAGAACGAAAGU